Molecule: ribosomal RNA, 760 nt
Filed under: Flavobacterium sp.
Lineage: Bacteria; Pseudomonadati; Bacteroidota; Flavobacteriia; Flavobacteriales; Flavobacteriaceae
Description: bacterial SSU rRNA
Rfam family: Bacterial small subunit ribosomal RNA
Source: RNAcentral
ACCGGCGCACGGGUGCGUAACGCGUAUGCAAUCUACCUUUUACAGAGGGAUAGCCCAGAGAAAUUUGGAUUAAUACCUCAUAGUAUAUAGCCCUGGCAUCAGGAUUAUAUUAAAGUCACAACGGUAAAAGAUGAGCAUGCGUCCCAUUAGCUAGUUGGUAAGGUAACGGCUUACCAAGGCUACGAUGGGUAGGGGUCCUGAGAGGGAGAUCCCCCACACUGGUACUGAGACACGGACCAGACUCCUACGGGAGGCAGCAGUGAGGAAUAUUGGACAAUGGGCGCAAGCCUGAUCCAGCCAUGCCGCGUGCAGGAUGACGGUCCUAUGGAUUGUAAACUGCUUUUAUACGAGAAGAAACACUCCUUCGUGAAGGAGCUUGACGGUAUCGUAAGAAUAAGGAUCGGCUAACUCCGUGCCAGCAGCCGCGGUAAUACGGAGGAUCCAAGCGUUAUCCGGAAUCAUUGGGUUUAAAGGGUCCGUAGGCGGUUUAAUAAGUCAGUGGUGAAAGCCCAUCGCUCAACGGUGGAACGGCCAUUGAUACUGUUAGACUUGAAUUAUUAGGAAGUAACUAGAAUAUGUAGUGUAGCGGUGAAAUGCUUAGAGAUUACAUGGAAUACCAAUUGCGAAGGCAGGUUACUACUAAUUGAUUGACGCUGAUGGACGAAAGCGUGGGUAGCGAACAGGAUUAGAUACCCUGGUAGUCCACGCCGUAAACGAUGGAUACUAGCUGUUGGAAGCAAUUUCAGUGGCUAAGCGAAAG